This 439-nucleotide ribosomal RNA is filed under the name Rhipicephalus sanguineus (brown dog tick). Its description in RNAcentral is "partial 16S ribosomal RNA". The record is from RNAcentral. Lineage: Eukaryota; Metazoa; Arthropoda; Arachnida; Ixodida; Ixodidae.
UUUUUUUUUUUUUUUCCUCUGCUUCAAUUGUUUUUUAAAUUGCUGUGGUAUUUUGACUAUACAAAGGUAUUGAAAUAAGAUUUUAAUUGAAUGCUAAGAGAAUGGAAGUCCAGAAAAAAACUUUUUUUAAAUUAAAAAUUGAAGUUUUUUUAAUUUGUGCAGAAACAAUUAUUUAUAUUAAAGACAAGAAGACCCUAUGAAUUUAUUAAAUUUUUAUUUAAUAUGUAAUUACUAUUAGAAAAAUUUUGGCUGGGGCGGCUAGAAAAUAUUAUGAACUUUUUAAAAAUAAAAUGAUCCAUUAUUAAUGAUUUUAUGUUAAAUACUCUAGGGAUAACAGCGUUAUAUUUUUUGAUAGAUCAUAUUGACAAAAAAGUUUGCGACCUCGAUGUUGGAUUAGGAUACUUUUUUAAUGAAGAUAUAAAAAAAGAAGUUGUCACCA